This 2893-nucleotide long non-coding RNA is filed under the name Homo sapiens (human). RNAcentral describes it as "long non-coding RNA NONHSAT203917.1". Lineage: Eukaryota; Metazoa; Chordata; Mammalia; Primates; Hominidae. The record is from RNAcentral.
CGCAGAAGGGCUGGGAGGUCCCCACCCCAGGCCCCCUCAUUUCCAGUGAGGCCUGCAGAAGACCCAGAAAAUUUCUCAUAGGCCCUGAGGAGGAAAAGAACAGAAAAUUGGUCUGUGUGCCAGGAAUCUGGGUGCCACUUAGGCGGGCCUGCUGGCUCAGGGUCUCUCACAGGCUGAAAUCAAGGUGUCACCUGAGGCUACCAUCAUCUCAAGGCUUAACUGGCAAAGGAUGUACAUUCAGCCACCCUAGAUGGUUGUUGGCAGGACGCAAACUCCUCGUGGGCUAUUGAAUUGAGGACCUCUGUUUAUUGUUCUUGUCAGCCCAAGGCUGCCCUGAGUUCCUUGCCAUAAGGACCUCUCCAUAAGGCAGCUUGCAACAUGGGAGGUGCUUCAUCAGAGCCAGCUGGUGACAGAGUACAAGCAAGAUGAAAGUGACAGUCUUCUAUAACCUGAUCUUGGAAGUGACAGCCUAUCAUUUUUGCCAUAUUCUUCUCAUUAGAAGCAAGUCAAUAGUCCCACACUCUAAGUAAGGAGAUUGCAGAAGGGCAUAAAUAGGAGGAGAUGGGGAUUGCUGAAGGCCAAUUCAGAAGCUGCCUGCCUAGAACCAAGGAGUAUACGAAGCAUGCACAAGAUGGUUCAUCCUGGCAGAGGAGGAACAGUUCUUCCCUCAUAACCGAGCUGGAGAGGCACACGUGGCAGAAGGUAGAGGUGCGAAUUCACAGAAAUCAAGGAUGUAAGAUGAAGGUAUGUCUUCCAACAUACGGCAACAUCCAGUUGAUUCACUGAACUGAGAAAUGGGUGUAUACCUGUAAAAGAAAGGAAGAGCUAGCUUCAGUAUGCAGCCUAGUGAAACUGGAAUCAGAACAGAAUGAAUACGAUGAACUGGAAAUGUCAUGUUAUUGAGCUACAGUCUCUAGAACAGAGACAGUGGCAUCAGUUGGAGUCCUUAAUAUUUGAGGUUUCUUGGCUAAACUAACUUCCCCCAGAGAGGGCUAAGACGGAGGGCUAAGACGGGUAAUACCAUGUCUGCCUGUGACUCUCCUUUUAGUCAAGCUUCUGAGUGGGCUCCACCUCCAUUCAGGAUGAUGGUAGUAACACAGCUAAUGAAAGACAGUUUUCACUGGGUUAGAAAGUCCUAACGGCCAUUUUUUUUCUUUCUUGAGAGUUCUGUGUAAUUUUUUCUUUUUGAAGAGUUCUGUGUUUUUUCAGAGUUCUGAUCUCAUAUGAAAUGAUUUCAAAGUUUAGCUCUCAGUGGGAAAUAAUUUGUCCACAUUCCAGGGAAACAGGAGAAAGCCCCUUAGUUCUAAGAGUAGUACUGACAGUCAUCACCUACAGUCAAAUGAUAUUUUGGGCAAGUCUGCAUUCUUUUAUGAGCCACAAAACCAUAUAGCAGGAACUAAGAUGCAGAGACCCUGUAAUAAAUACAUUCCUUCCACCAGCUCUUAGACAUCGUUCAUAAAUUGUUCCAUUUGACAGUGAACAGGGAAAAUGGAUGAGAAACGUGGCCUCAAGCAUAUAAUGUAUAUGUGGUCAAAGAGUCAUGACCCAUGUGGCCACAUUACCAGAUUAUAUCUUAUUCUCACUUUCUCUACAAUAGGAUAAGCACCAACAGGAUAGAAAUACACUCUUCUCUCCAAUUUAAUUAUACCUUUAUUAUUACUUUUCUUAUAUGCACACAAGCAGCAACAGCUAAUGUAAAGUGGAAAUUGUAAUACAAUUUCCAUACUGUGUCUUUGUUGACUACAAAAUUAUAUAAAAAAUGUGUCUCACCCUUUAGUUGGGACCAUUUAGAAGCCUGAGGGCAAUUACACAGAGUGUAUUGGAGUUAGCCGCACAAUCUCCUAAUGGCAGCUUGGCCCAAAGCCAAGCUUUAAGCCAAACCUCAGGGAAUUCAAAUUUAAAAGUCAGCUACAUUAGUGGUAGUGAUUCAGUUUGGAGAAGAUAUCGCUUUUCGUGAUUUAUUACAGCCAGUGCUUUCAGUACAUUUAAAAGAUGGUCUAGCUUAGUUGCAUUUUCAAAGGAGCGCUACUGCAUAAAAUGAGGAACAUCUGAACUGAAAGCUAUCAGAAUGGAAAAGCUUGACUAGGGCUUGAAUUAUGUGGAAAGCGUAAUUCUUAGAAAUAGGUCCUCAAACACACAAGAAUCUGCAAAAAUGAGCUAUACUUUCAACCCCCCAAUAUCUAACCCUCGUGAUCAUUUGGUAGAGAAGGGUCUGUUACUGUCAAGUAUUUUUAAAUGACUGCAAAGACAUUAAUUCCCUAGGUGCAGAAUAAUCAUUCAGUAUCAAGAAUAAACAUAUAAUUUAAAAUAUUGUGGUUUUGCAACCAGCCAUAUCAAGAGUUUCCAAGAAAAAUGUAAACAAGGAUUUUGCAGUGACUCCAGCUAGAACACAUGAAUAUGACUGAGAACAGAAUAUCUCUACUUACUUUAGUCAAUUUUGUAGUAACUAAAUAAGUAAGAUGAAAAAAAGUAACUUCAAAAAAAAACGAUCUCUACUGAGCUAUCUGGAGACAAAACAUCGUGCUACAUUCCAAAUCACCAAGGGCCUUCCGGCACACACAUCAGAAAGUGAAAUAUAUCUGCCUCGAAGGAACUGGGCAGAGAUGCUUCUACCUUUAGGAAAACAACCCCAUUUUCAUAAUAAGCCUAUAAAUCAUAUAGUUAUUACCUGGUGCCUAUUUGUAAUGGGAAACAUCGUGAGAUAGUAUCGACGUAUUUUUUUUCUGGGAUCUGUGGCUCUAAAGCCCUUUCCCCAGCUCAGGCCACUUCCACUGCCUCAAGAAAGGAAUAACUCAAAGGACAAGAUCAUCAACUCCACUCAUUUAUUCACUUUUUUUUUUUAACGAACAUUUAUUGACCCCAUGUAUGUGCAAGAAACUGUUCUAAGUGCUGA